This 464-nucleotide ribosomal RNA is filed under the name Vreelandella stevensii. RNAcentral's name for it is "partial 16S ribosomal RNA". It matches the Rfam family "Bacterial small subunit ribosomal RNA", at positions 338 to 795 of the family's 1533-position model. The record is from RNAcentral. Lineage: Bacteria; Pseudomonadati; Pseudomonadota; Gammaproteobacteria; Oceanospirillales; Halomonadaceae.
CCUACGGGUGGCAGCAGUGGGGAAUAUUGGACAAUGGGCGAAAGCCUGAUCCAGCCAUGCCGCGUGUGUGAAGAAGGCCUUCGGGUUGUAAAGCACUUUCAGUGGGGAAGAAAGCCUUGGGGCUAAUACCCUCGAGGAAGGACAUCACCCACAGAAGAAGCACCGGCUAACUCCGUGCCAGCAGCCGCGGUAAUACGGAGGGUGCGAGCGUUAUCGGAAUUACUGGGCGUAAAGCGCGCGUAGGCGGUCUGAUAAGCCGGUUGUGAAAGCCCCGGGCUCAACCUGGGAACGGCAUCCGGAACUGUCAGGCUAGAGUGCAGGAGAGGAAGGUAGAAUUCCCGGUGUAGCGGUGAAAUGCGUAGAGAUCGGGAGGAAUACCAGUGGCGAAGGCGGUCUUCUGGACUGACACUGACGCUGAGGUGCGAAAGCGUGGGUAGCAAACAGGAUUAGAUACCCUAGUAGUC